Molecule: long non-coding RNA, 1402 nt
Filed under: Gallus gallus (chicken)
Lineage: Eukaryota; Metazoa; Chordata; Aves; Galliformes; Phasianidae
Description: long non-coding RNA NONGGAT007852
Source: RNAcentral
CAGGAGGGCACCUCGCUUUCCCCUCUGGAAGCAGCAGAGCGGUUGGGAGCCCUGUUGCUGCCUGUGGCUGCGUGGUGACCAUUCUUGAAACGUCUCCAAAUUUUUGUCUGUUGUGCUAAUGUCCCAGUCCUUUUUCAUACAGAGGGUUUUGACCUUGGAGAAAUCCAGAAGAAAUCAAUGGAAAAUGGAAGCUGUCAGUCUCCGUACCUCCAGCAGGAGCUUCUCUGUACAUCCCAUAUGCAUAUUUCUUGGAUGGGAAGGGUGUCGAUUUCUCUUGUAGUCAAACCAGUGACUGAUUCAUCACUAAACUAUCUCUUCCUGUAAUUCCCUGCUACUUCAUUCAGCUGAUUGUAUCUUAGGGAGCAGAGAUAAGUGCCGGAGCAAUACAAAGAGAGCUGGCUGAUAAAUUAAGCUUCAGAUGUCCUUAGAGAAAGUCCAGUCUAACUAGAGAGAAGAGCCUCUAGAACAUCAUUAGACUUAUUCUCUCUUCUCAGCAGAGCUAUUACAAGCCUGCUUUUUGUCAGCACUUCUCUUAAGACUUACAGCACAAUUUGUGCACCAACUCAUCUCUACAGUCAUCUUGUCAUAGGGGAAGAGCCAGAGGAUUUUCUUUUAUGUUGCUUCAUAUGCAGUCAUGUUACAGGUGAAUGGGAAAAACGCAGGAGCAGAUGAAGCUGAUGGAAACUGGAACCUCACCCUGUUGCUGGAACUGUUAUUAACUCGGCUGUAAGAUGGAAUUAAAUAAAAAUAAUAAGCAGACUCGUAAUAACAUUUUAUUAAAGAUACUGUAUCGAGGCAUAGAUUAAGCUUUAAAGAUGACGAAAAUUAACCUGGCAUGUCUUCAUUGAUACUCUACAUAGACUACAAAUAAUUGCUAAGUUACAGAACAGUCAGAGCCUGUUCUAGAUGUCCUCUGCUUAAAAAAUAAGGGAAGUUAAAUGGUUCAAGGCCUAUCUUUAGGUGAUACUAUGAACAUAUUUCCCUUCUCUUCUCUGCUUUGCAGAAGUGGGUGCUUCCUGCUCCCUAUGGAAAGGACAUCACAUUUUCUAUUAGAUUUCCCACCUACAACGAGCCUUUUCCCUCAGGAGUCCCCAGUGGUAUCUUGCAUUUUCUGGAUAUUCACUGUCCUCCCCAUUGCUCUAGCACCACCACUGGGACAGCAGUGUCAGCAUUCCAGUCCUGUACUGUAGCCCUUUAAAAUUCCUGUAUUUAUUUUUGAGAUGUUUUGUGUUAAUACUGCUGUUUCCUUAAGCACCUAAAGGCUGAAAGGUCUGGGGCUCUGAAAUCAGAUUAAGGAACAACAUUCAAAGAUACCUGAACAUCUUUUCUUGCAUUUGUAUAGCAACUUUAUCAACUCAAAAAGAGUAAAGCAAGCACAGACACAUGCCCUGUACAAGCUGCA